AAAUUAUUAUGGGUUU
RNAcentral lists this ribosomal RNA (16 nucleotides) under Lymantria dispar (gypsy moth). RNAcentral describes it as "partial large subunit rRNA". Lineage: Eukaryota; Metazoa; Arthropoda; Insecta; Lepidoptera; Erebidae. The record is from RNAcentral.